CCUGCCUGCAGGGCGCGCGCAACGGCUUUGAGCUUGCUCGCUGAUGUUAGCGGCGGACGGGUGAGUAGCACGUAGGUAACCUGCCUUUAAGACCGGGAUAACUCCGGGAAACCGGGGCUAAUACCGGAUGGCAGUUCGAACCGCAUGGUUCAAAUAUAAAAGGUGGCUUCGGCUACCACUUUCAGAUGGGCCCGCGGCGCAUUAGCUAGUUGGUGAGGUAACGGCUCACCAAGGCAACGAUGCGUAGCCGACCUGAGAGGGUGAUCGGCCACACUGGGACUGAGACACGGCCCAGACUCCUACGGGAGGCAGCAGUAGGGAAUCUUCCGCAAUGGACGAAAGUCUGACGGAGCAACGCCGCGUGAGUGAAGAAGGUUUUCGGAUCGUAAAGCUCUGUUGUUAGGGGAGAACAAGUGCCGUUCAAAUAGCGCGGCACCUUGACGGUACCUAACCAGAAAGCCACGGCUAACUACGUGCCAGCAGCCGCGGUAAU
RNAcentral lists this ribosomal RNA (493 nucleotides) under uncultured Bacillus sp. RNAcentral describes it as "bacterial SSU rRNA". It matches the Rfam family "Bacterial small subunit ribosomal RNA", at positions 50 to 524 of the family's 1533-position model. The record is from RNAcentral. Lineage: Bacteria; Bacillati; Bacillota; Bacilli; Caryophanales; Bacillaceae.